Non-coding RNA from Chelonoidis abingdonii (Abingdon island giant tortoise), 492 nucleotides. Lineage: Eukaryota; Metazoa; Chordata; Testudines; Testudinidae. The record is from RefSeq and is a predicted model, not a curated record.
CAGUCACUCCUAGGGCAUCCAUGUGGGCACAGAACUCCUGCAGGGGCAGGUGGGCCAUCUGGGGAAGGGAUGAGGGGGAUAGGGAAAUGCAGCCCACCACAGAAUCAGCCUGGAGACAGAAUCACCCUCCCCCUCAGUGAGGGGCAGGUGGGUAACUGCUCAGAGGGGAGAAUGGAUGUGGGGGGACAUUGUACAGAUAUUUUGGAUGGGUGGGUAGAUGGAUGAGUGUAUUGCAUGGAUGGAUGGUGGAUGGGCAUGGUGGAUGAAUGAGUGGGUGCACUGCAUGGGCGAAUGGAUGAUGGAUGAGCUUGUUGGGUGGAUGGCUGGAUGGUGUGUGGGAUGGACAGGUGGUUGUGAGGGUUGCAUGGAUGAACAAGUGUGAUGGAUGGAUGGUUGGGCAGAUGGAUGAGUGUGUUGGAUGGAUGGAUGAGUGUGUUGGAUGGUUGGGCAGAUGGAUGAGUGUGUUGAAUGGAUGGAUGGGUUGGGUGGAUG